AUGCCAUGGUGUGGGCAUUUCAUCAACAGCUCUUUGAACGUUUCCACGCGUCAAGAACAGCCUCAUCGUUCAUUUGUUUGAAAAGACAAAUCUCGUUCCUGGACUU
Cynara cardunculus var. scolymus (artichoke) is the source of this 106-nucleotide small nucleolar RNA. Lineage: Eukaryota; Viridiplantae; Streptophyta; Magnoliopsida; Asterales; Asteraceae. The record is from RefSeq and is a predicted model, not a curated record.